This 500-nucleotide ribosomal RNA is filed under the name uncultured bacterium. RNAcentral describes it as "partial 16S ribosomal RNA". It matches the Rfam family "Bacterial small subunit ribosomal RNA", at positions 30 to 523 of the family's 1533-position model. The record is from RNAcentral.
AUUGAACGCUGGCGGAAUGCUUUACACAUGCAAGUCGAACGGCAGCACGGGGGCAACCCUGGUGGCGAGUGGCGAACGGGUGAGUAAUACAUCGGAACGUGCCCAGUCGUGGGGGAUAACGUAGCGAAAGUUACGCUAAUACCGCAUACGAUCUACGGAUGAAAGCGGGGGACCGUAAGGCCUCGCGCGAUUGGAGCGGCCGAUGUCUGAUUAGGUAGUUGGUGAGGUAAAGGCUCACCAAGCCGACGAUCUGUAGCUGGUCUGAGAGGACGACCCGCCACACUGGGACUGAGACACGGCCCAGACUCCUACGGGAGGCAGCAGUGGGGAAUUUUGGACAAUGGGCGCAAGCCUGAUCCAGCCAUUCCGCGUGCAGGACGAAGGCCUUCGGGUUGUAAACUGCUUUUGUACGGAACGGAAAGGCUCUGGUUAAUACCUGGGGCUCAUGACGGUACCGUAAGAACAAGCACCGGCUAACUACGUGCCAGCCGCCGCGGUAA